Small nucleolar RNA from Sciurus vulgaris (Eurasian red squirrel), 129 nucleotides. Lineage: Eukaryota; Metazoa; Chordata; Mammalia; Rodentia; Sciuridae. The record is from Ensembl.
UAGCAAGACUCCAGUGUGCUUGGGUCUGCAGUGACUCUAUGCAUUCCUACAGUUCUUGCCAGAACAGGGCUGAAACGGGUUGAGACCUUGCCCUGCCCUAUUGAGAGCAAGGUCAUAGAAAAAACAAAG